AUACCGGGCCUUUUUUGGGCUUGGUAAUUGGAAUGAGGGAGAGUUAAACGGACCAUCGAGUAUCCAUUGGAGGGCAAGUCUGGUGCCAGCAGCUGCGGUAAUACCAGCUCCAAUAGCGUAUAUUAAAGUUGUUGCAGUUAAAAAGCUCGUAGUUGGACUUGUGUGCGCUGUCCGCGGGUGGCCUGCGCCCAAAAGGGCGUUUCGGUUCGGCCCCGGUGGCGCCUUGAAAUCUGCAGCUGGGGGGACGUUGGCCUUAACUGGUCGGCGACCGCACGCCGGCUGCUCGGUUACUGUGAGAAAAUUAGAGUGUUCAAGGCAGGCAUUGGUUGCAAUUGAAUACAUUAGCAUGGAAUAAUAAAAUAUGGCUCCUGCCGUAUUUUGUUGGUUUUGACUGGUGGGAGUAAUGAUUGAUAGGGACGGUUGGGGGUGCUAGUAUUGAGCGGCUAGAGGUGAAAUUCAUGGAUUCGCUCAAGACUAACUUAUGCGAAAGCAUUCACCAAGGACGUCCUCUUUAAUCAAGAACGAAAGUUGGGGGAUCGAAGACGAUCAGAUACCGUCGUAGUCUCAACCAUAAACUAUGUCGACUUGGGAUCGGCGGUAGUUUUUUCAUUAAGACACUGUCGGGACCACGGGAGAAAUCAAAGUGUCUGGACUCUGGGGGAAGUAUGGUCGCAAGGCUGAAACUUGAAGGAAUUGACGGAAGGGCACCACCAGGAGUGGAGCCUGCGGCUUAAUUUGACCCAACACGGGGAAACUUACCAGGUCCAGAGAUGUAGAGGAUUGACAGAUUGAAGCUCUUUCUUGAUCACUUCGGUGGUGGUGCAUGGCCGUUCUUAGUUGGUGGAGUGAUUUGUCUGGUUAAUUCCGUUAACGAACGAGACCUCAGCCUGCUAGUGUAGUCGGCUGGAUUGCCUUUGGCGAUCCGUGAUUUCGACUUCUUAGAGGGACAAUCGACGCGCAGUCGAUGGAAGUUUGAGGCAAUAACAGGUCUGUGAUGCCCUUAGAUGUUCUGGGCCGCACGCGCGCUACACUGCUGGGCUCAGCGAGUUUUACUUGGCCGAGAGGCCCGGUUAAUCUUGUGAAAUCCCAGCGUGCUUGGGCUCGCCUCCUGCAACUGGAGGCGCCAACGAGGAAUUCCUAGUAGACGCAGGUCAUCAACCUGCAUCGAUUACGUCCCUGCCCUUUGUACACACCGCCCGUCGUUCCAUAAGAGUGAGGCAUCCGGUGAAUUCUCGGGAGAGCCUGGGCGUGGCCAGCAAUGGUCUGCUCGGGUUUGAACUUGCAUAAACUUGGUGCCUAUGAUUAGGG
This 1308-nucleotide ribosomal RNA is filed under the name metagenome. Its description in RNAcentral is "SSU rRNA". It matches the Rfam family "Eukaryotic small subunit ribosomal RNA", at positions 483 to 1783 of the family's 1831-position model. The record is from RNAcentral.